RNAcentral lists this ribosomal RNA (474 nucleotides) under uncultured bacterium. RNAcentral describes it as "bacterial SSU rRNA". It matches the Rfam family "Bacterial small subunit ribosomal RNA", at positions 335 to 800 of the family's 1533-position model. The record is from RNAcentral.
ACUCCUACGGGAGGCAGCAGUGGGGAAUAUUGCACAAUGGGCGCAAGCCUGAUGCAGCCAUGCCGCGUGUGUGAAGAAGGCCUUCGGGUUGUAAAGCACUUUCAGUUGUGAGGAAGGUGGUGUCGUUAAUAGCGGCAUCAUUUGACGUUAGCAACAGAAGAAGCACCGGCUAACUCCGUGCCAGCAGCCGCGGUAAUACGGAGGGUGCGAGCGUUAAUCGGAAUUACUGGGCGUAAAGCGCAUGCAGGUGGUUUGUUAAGUCAGAUGUGAAAGCCCGGGGCUCAACCUCGGAACUGCAUUUGAAACUGGCAGACUAGAGUACUGUAGAGGGGGGUAGAAUUUCAGGUGUAGCGGUGAAAUGCGUAGAGAUCUGAAGGAUACCGGUGGCGAAGGCGGACCCCCUGGACAGAUACUGACACUCAGAUGCGAAAGCGUGGGGAGCAAACAGGAUUAGAUACCCUGGUAAGCACAGGG